Molecule: ribosomal RNA, 425 nt
Filed under: uncultured bacterium
Lineage: Bacteria
Description: partial 16S ribosomal RNA
Rfam family: Bacterial small subunit ribosomal RNA
Source: RNAcentral
GUGGGGAAUCUUGCGCAAUGGGCGAAAGCCUGACGCAGCCAUGCCGCGUGAAUGAUGAAGGUCUUAGGAUUGUAAAAUUCUUUCACCGGGGACGAUAAUGACGGUACCCGGAGAAGAAGCCCCGGCUAACUUCGUGCCAGCAGCCGCGGUAAUACGAAGGGGGCUAGCGUUGCUCGGAAUUACUGGGCGUAAAGGGCGCGUAGGCGGACAGUUUAGUCAGAGGUGAAAGCCCAUGGCUCAACCUUGGAAUUGCCUUUGAUACUGGCUGUCUUGAGUACGGGAGAGGUGAGUGGAACUCCGAGUGUAGAGGUGAAAUUCGUAGAUAUUCGGAAGAACACCAGUGGCGAAGGCGACUCACUGGCCCGUUACUGACGCUGAGGCGCGAAAGCGUGGGGAGCAAACAGGAUUAGAAACCCGGGUAGUCC